This 440-nucleotide ribosomal RNA is filed under the name uncultured bacterium. RNAcentral describes it as "partial 16S ribosomal RNA". It matches the Rfam family "Bacterial small subunit ribosomal RNA", at positions 338 to 795 of the family's 1533-position model. The record is from RNAcentral.
CCUACGGGAGGCAGCAGUGGGGGAUAUUGCACAAUGGGGGGAACCCUGAUGCAGCGACGCCGCGUGGGUGAAGAAGCGCCUCGGCGCGUAAAGCCCUGUCAGCAGGGAAGAAAAUGACGGUACCUGACGAAGACGCCCCGGCUAACUACGUGCCAGCCGCCGCGGUAAUACGUAGGGGGCAGGCGUUAUCCGGAUUUACUGGGUGUAAAGGGGGCGCAGACGGCAGUGCAAGCCAGGAGUGAAAGCCCGUGGCCCAACCCCGGGACUGCUCUUGGAACUGCGGGGCUGGAGUGCAGGAGGGGUCGGCGGAAUUCCUGGUGUAGCGGUGAAAUGCGUAGAUAUCAGGAGGAACACCGGUGGCGAAGGCGGCCUGCUGGACUGCAACUGACGUUGAGGCCCGAAAGCGUGGGGAGCAAACAGGAUUAGAUACCCCAGUAGUC